AUACGUAGGGGGCAAGCGUUAUCCGGAUUUACUGGGUGUAAAGGGAGCGUAGACGGCGAAGCAAGUCUGAAGUGAAAGGACGGGGCCCAACCCCGGAACUGCUUUGGAAACUGUUUGGCUGGAGUGCGGGAGGGGUAAGCGGAAUUCCUAGUGUAGCGGUGAAAUGCGUAGAUAUUAGGAGGAACACCGGUGGCGAAGGCGGCUUACUGGACCGUAACUGACGUUGAGGCUCGAAGGCGUGGGGAGCAAACAGGAUUAGAUACCCUGGUAGUCCACGCGGUAAACGAUGAUCACUAGGUGUCCGUGGGUAUGACCCAUGGUGCCGCAGCCAACGCAAUAAGUGAUCCACCUGGGGAGUACGUUCGCAAGAAUGAAACUCAAAGGAAUUGACGGGG
RNAcentral lists this ribosomal RNA (395 nucleotides) under uncultured bacterium. RNAcentral's name for it is "partial 16S ribosomal RNA". It matches the Rfam family "Bacterial small subunit ribosomal RNA", at positions 523 to 918 of the family's 1533-position model. The record is from RNAcentral.